Molecule: long non-coding RNA, 1476 nt
Organism: Mesocricetus auratus (golden hamster)
Lineage: Eukaryota; Metazoa; Chordata; Mammalia; Rodentia; Cricetidae
Exons: 3
Source: RefSeq, a predicted model, not a curated record
CCUCCAGGCUCCUGCCCUGCUUGAGUCCCCGCCCUGACUUCCUUCAGAGGCUGUGUGCUAUCUGUGCCACGGAGGGGACACAGCAAAACUGGAAGGCAUCUCAACGAGCACCACGACUCCUCCGUGGCACUCGCACCUCCCCUCAGAACCUGCCUCACUGAAGCAAUUGAAAACUUCCAGCCUGAGUCUGCACAUAUCCAUUGGUUCCCACUUUCUGCUGCAUGUCCCAAGAAUGCAUUGCUGAAGACAAGGAGAUGACCUUUCCCCAACUCCCACGGCAGCAGAGGGGCAAGGAAGAACCUUCCAGACGGCAGAGCAAUUGGCCACAAAAAAGGGAUGGAAAAGAGUCCUCUUCCCAGGGAGUCCAGUCAGGGACCAGAAGGUGUGAAUAAGGCUGAAUAGAAAAAUGUGGCAGAACUGAAAUCACCUCCCAAAGAGCAGAGAGCCUCUCACAGCAUCCCAGGAGCAGCAGCUGUCACGGCCAGGCUCCAGAAGAACGGCCCAUUGCACCAUUAUAUCUCCUCCCUGAGGUCCGGCUCACCCCCGGCCGAGCUUGGAAGGCUCCGUGGGCUGGGCUUCCCAUGGACACCUGCAAUCGUCUCUAUAUUGUGACACACAGACAGUGCCUUCUGGUCCUAGAAUGUUGCCAUUGCAGCCUUCAGCACACCAAGGUUUGAGAAACGAGAGUCUUCAUAUCUUUUUAGAGAUCAGAACAGACAAUUCCAACCAGCCAGUCAUUCAGUUAAUUAAAGAAGGGACUGAUAACCUGCUGCCUGUCAAAUGCCACGCUGGACUUUGUAGAUAAGGAGCUCAAAUUGUGCCAAAAUAUAUAGACACUUGCACUUACAAAAUCUAUAGACGCCAUCCCACUUCCCUUUGCUCUUCCCCUCCAUGUCCUGUGUGUUUUUCACAGAGUCCCACCAACACGACCGAGAGGCUCAGUCAUAGGUUUCACUCACAUCCUGAUCUGUCAUCAUUGGGUAAUUUCGGACAAGCUUUGUAACAGUCAACUUCUCUGUAACCCUGAAGUGAAGAUAAUAUAGUCCUUCCACUAUAAUAUAUAUAAUAAUAUAAUAUAAUAUAAUAACAUAUUAUAUGUCCAUAUAUGUAUAUAUGGACAGGGGGCAGCAAACGGUUAGUGCCGUAUCGAUAUUUAAGUGUGUUUGCUAUCCACUGAAGUUCAGAUUUCCCAAGUGUCCUUUGGACACUUGUGUGGGUGUGAUCCUGCUAAAAGAUUUCACUCAGAGGUGUCGACUGGUGACAGUCAUUUAUAACAGCCUAUGCAUAGAGAGGAAUCUUACAGGCUAGACUUAAUUUAUUUAAUUCAUUUAUUUAUUUGACACAGGGUCUCAGUAUUUAUCCCUCUCUGGUCUGGAACUCAUUAUGUAGAUAAACCUGGCCUUGAACUCAGAGAUCCACCCCUGCUUCUUGCCUCCCGGGUAUUCCGGACUUAAAAAAAUAAAUAUGUGCGCAGUA